RNAcentral lists this long non-coding RNA (354 nucleotides) under Medicago truncatula (barrel medic). Its description in RNAcentral is "lncRNA gene13516". The record is from RNAcentral. Lineage: Eukaryota; Viridiplantae; Streptophyta; Magnoliopsida; Fabales; Fabaceae.
GUAGGAUCUAAAUAUUUCAAUAAAAUAUAGGGAGUUACACAAACAUGUUAACUUGAUUGGACAUUGAUGAAAUUAUAAAAACAAAUAUAGAAAAUACAAUUAUUUGAUGUCGGCACAAUAACUAAAGAUGAACUAAGGAAUAUUCUAUCAAAAGGUAAAUUGAUAGAUUUUUUUACCAUAAGAACUCAUUCUUCCAUGAAUGGCGUAAGUUUACUCUCUUGGGAUUCACACUCAUUGAAUCGGUUUCAACAAUUUAGGAUAUCUACAUUUGUUGUUGAUACACUUAUAUGUGCGACCUCUGGUACCUUCUGGACAAUCAGCAGCAGUUUGACAAACAGGUAAUGCUAUAAUGGA